Molecule: ribosomal RNA, 408 nt
Filed under: uncultured bacterium
Lineage: Bacteria
Description: partial 16S ribosomal RNA
Rfam family: Bacterial small subunit ribosomal RNA
Source: RNAcentral
GACGAACGCUGGCGGCGUGCUUAACACAUGCAAGUCGAACGAAGUGGCGAACGGGUGCGUAACGCGUAAUCAACCUGCCCUUCAGAGGGGGACAACAGUUGGAAACGACUGCUAAUACCGCAUACUGAAGGAGGGGAUUGCGUCUGAUGAGCUAGUUGGAGUGGUAACGGCCCACCAAGGCGAUGAUCAGUAGCCUGUCUUAGAGGAUGAACGGCCACAGUGGGACUGAGACAAGGCACAGAAUUCGACGGGAGGCAGCAGGGGGGAAUCUUCCGAAAUGGAAGAAAGUCUGACGGAGCAACGCCGGGUGAGUGAUGACGGCGUUCGGGUUGUAAAGCUCGGUUAAUCGGGACGCGGUACCGAAAUAGAAAGCCACGGCUAACUACGUGCCAGCAGCCGCGGUAAUAC